Molecule: ribosomal RNA, 434 nt
Filed under: uncultured bacterium
Lineage: Bacteria
Description: bacterial SSU rRNA
Rfam family: Bacterial small subunit ribosomal RNA
Source: RNAcentral
GGGCCCGCACAAGCGGUGGAGUAUGUGGUUUAAUUCGAUGCAACGCGAAGAACCUUACCAGGGUUUGACAUCCUGCGAAUCUCUUGGAAACAGGAGAGUGCCUUCGGGAACGCAGUGACAGGUGGUGCAUGGCUGUCGUCAGCUCGUGUCGUGAGAUGUUGGGUUAAGUCCCGCAACGAGCGCAACCCACGUCUUUAGUUGCCAGCACUUCGGGUGGGAACUCUAAGGAUACUGCCAGUGACAAACUGGAGGAAGGCGGGGACGACGUCAAGUCAUCAUGGCCCUUACGACCAGGGCUACACACGUGCUACAAUGGUAGGUACAGAGGGCAGCUACACAGCGAUGUGAUGCGAAUCUCAAAAAAGCCUAUCGUAGUCCAGAUUGGAGUCUGCAACUCGACUCCAUGAAGUAGGAAUCGCUAGUAAUCGCAGGUC